UACGUAGGUGGCAAGCGUUGUCCGGAUUCAUUGGGCGUAAAGGGUGCGUAGGUGGCGUCGUAAGUCGGGUGUGAAAUUUCGGAGCUCAACUCCGAAACUGCAUUCGAUACUGCGGUGCCUGAGGACUGGAGAGGAGACUGGAAUUUACGGUGUAGCAGUGAAAUGCGUAGAGAUCGUAAGGAAGACCAGUGGCGAAGGCGGGUCUCUGGACAGUUCCUGACACUGAGGCACGAAGGCCAGGGGAGCAAACGGG
This 253-nucleotide ribosomal RNA is filed under the name uncultured bacterium. Its description in RNAcentral is "partial 16S ribosomal RNA". It matches the Rfam family "Bacterial small subunit ribosomal RNA", at positions 524 to 776 of the family's 1533-position model. The record is from RNAcentral.